RNAcentral lists this ribosomal RNA (993 nucleotides) under Bacillus sp. (in: firmicutes). RNAcentral describes it as "bacterial SSU rRNA". It matches the Rfam family "Bacterial small subunit ribosomal RNA", at positions 56 to 1031 of the family's 1533-position model. The record is from RNAcentral. Lineage: Bacteria; Bacillati; Bacillota; Bacilli; Caryophanales; Bacillaceae.
UGCAGUCGAGCGGACAGAUGGGAGCUUGCUCCCUGAAGUUUGCGGCGGACGGGUGAGUAACACGUGGGUAACCUGCCUGUAAGACUGGGAUAACUCCGGGAAACCGGGGCUAAUACCGGAUGGUUGUCUGAACCGCAUGGUUCAGACAUAAAAGGUGGCUUCGGCUACCACUUACAGAUGGACCCGCGGCGCAUUAGCUAGUUGGUGAGGUAACGGCUCACCAAGGCGACGAUGCGUAGCCGACCUGAGAGGGUGAUCGGCCACACUGGGACUGAGACACGGCCCAGACUCCUACGGGAGGCAGCAGUAGGGAAUCUUCCGCAAUGGACGAAAGUCUGACGGAGCAACGCCGCGUGAGUGAUGAAGGUUUUCGGAUCGUAAAGCUCUGUUGUUAGGGAAGAACAAGUGCCGUUCAAAUAGGGCGGCAACUUGACGGUACCUAACCAGAAAGCCACGGCUAACUACGUGCCAGCAGCCGCGGUAAUACGUAGGUGGCAAGCGUUGUCCGGAAUUAUUGGGCGUAAAGGGCUCGCAGGCGGUUUCUUAAGUCUGAUGUGAAAGCCCCCGGGUCAACCGGGGAGGGUCAUUGGAAACUGGGGAACUUGAGUGCAGAAGAGGAGAGUGGAAUUCCACGUGUAGCGGUGAAAUGCGUAGAGAUGUGGAGGAACGCCAGUGGCGAAGGCGACUCUCUGGUCUGUAACUGACGCUGAGGAGCGAAAGCGUGGGGAGCGAACAGGAUUAGAUACCCUGGUAGUCCACGCCGUAAACGAUGAGUGCUAAGUGUUAGGGGGUUUCCGCCCGUUAGUGCUGCAGCUAACGCAUUAAGCACUCCGCCUGGGGAGUACGGUCGCAAGACUGAAACUCAAAGGAAUUGACGGGGGCCCGCACAAGCGGUGGAGCAUGUGGCUUAAUUCGAAGCAACGCGAAGAACCUUACCAGGUCUUGACAUCCUCUGACAAUCCUAGAGAUAGGACGUCCCCUUCGGGGGCAGAG